CUACGAGUUUGAUCCUGGCUCAGGAUGAACGCUAGCUGGAGGCUUAAUACAUGCAAGUCGAGCGGGAUUGGUAGCAAUACCAUGAGAGCGGCGCACGGGUGAGUAACGCGUACACGACCUACCUCUGACAGGGGGAUAGCCCUGGGAAACUGGGAUUAAUACCGCAUAUUAUUCUGAUUAAUAAAGGAUUGGAAUGAAAGUUCAGGCGGUCAGAGAUGGGUGUGCGUCUGAUUAGCUAGUUGGUAGGGUAACGGCCUACCAAGGCGAUGAUCAGUAGGGGGCGUGAGAGCGUGGUCCCCCACACGGGUACUGAGACACGGACCCGACUCCUACGGGAGGCAGCAGUAAGGAAUAUUGGACAAUGGCCGAAAGGCUGAUCCAGCCAUCCAGCGUGCAGGAAGAAGGCCCUAUGGGUUGUAAACUGCUUUUAUCAGGGAAUAAACCUCUGGAUUCACUCCGGAGCUGAAGGUACCUGAAGAAUAAGCACCGGCUAACUCCGUG
This 501-nucleotide ribosomal RNA is filed under the name uncultured bacterium. Its description in RNAcentral is "bacterial SSU rRNA". It matches the Rfam family "Bacterial small subunit ribosomal RNA", at positions 1 to 507 of the family's 1533-position model. The record is from RNAcentral.